UUGACCUCGGAUCAAGUAGGA
This 21-nucleotide ribosomal RNA is filed under the name Pleosporales sp. r305. Its description in RNAcentral is "partial 28S ribosomal RNA". The record is from RNAcentral. Lineage: Eukaryota; Fungi; Ascomycota; Dothideomycetes; Pleosporales.